AUUGAAACAGAAAAGGCUAAGGCAACAAGUGACUUGGAGGUGUAGCUCAUGCAUGGCAGCAGGCCUCCUCCGCCAGCUCCACCCCGUUGACGCUCUCGUCCCCCAUCCUCUUCUCCUUGUAGACGUAACCCCUGGCGGCCGCCGCGAAGACCACCAGGUUCAGCACGCUCAGCACCGCCAGAAGCCAGUAGAAGUCGUACAGCUUCCCUUUGUUCAGGUUGUCCGGUAGCCACGCCCCCUUUCCGCUCUCCCCCGUCACCUUGUGGACAAUGGUGACCAGCGUGGAGCUCAGGAAGAAGCCCAGCGAGAGCGUGCUUAGGAACAAGCCGGUGCUCAUCGUUUUCAUCCCCUUGGGGCACUCCCGCAGGAAGAAGUCCAGCUGGCCGAUGUAGGUGAACGCCUCGCCUGCCCCCACCAGCAAGAACUGCGGCACCAGCCAGAAGACGGUCAGGGGCACGACGGCCGCGGUCGGGUCAGUCCGGGCUGCCCGGAGGCGCUUGCGUUCGGUGAGGGCGGCGGCGCACAUGGCGACGAUGGAGAGGACGAGGCCGACCGCGAUGCGCUGGAGAGGUGUCACUCCCUGGGGGUUCCCGGUGAGGCGGCGGGCGGCGGGGACGAUGAGGCGGUCGUAGAUGGGGACGGUGAUGAGGAUGGAGCCGACGAAGAAAACAGUGAGGGAGCCGGCGGGGAUCUCGAAUGAGGGGCCGAUGUGGCGGUCCAUGGUGGUGGCCUGCGACACUGAGAAGGUGGUCAUCUGGGCGUAGACGGUCCAGAACAUGAUGGUUGUGGCCCAGGUGGGGAGCAUUCGGAUCACUUGCUUCACCUCCUCCACGUCCGUCAAGGUGGAAAGCCGCCACUUGGUCUGGUCCACCGUCGCGUCUCCUUCUACGAUGGCCGCCCGGUCCAAGAAGCUGCCAUAAGUUGUUAAAGAAGAAGAAUCAGUACUACUAUUACAUCACCUUUGUACUGUUUCUGCUGUAAAAGUCGUGCAAUCGAUAUAUUGCAUGUCUCGAGAUUUAUCGCCUAAUCCUAUCAUUAAUUAACUGUGCACUCUAUCUUGAUACAGAAAUAUACCACUAAUUAAUGACAAGAUAACACUACCUUUUCUUAACAUGACAUUACACUAAUUAUUUUUCAGUUGUCAUUACAUAACUAAGCAUGCGCACACUUCCCCAAGAUGUAUUAAAUGCAAAUUAAAAGUAAGGAAUAAAAACAUGAACCAGCAGUAAGAACUGAGUGUCGCAUAGAACUGUCAUGACCCCAUCUGAGGCCUAACAAGGGAGGGAAGAAGGAGACCAUCUUCAAGUGAAACAGCAAGCCAUUUACUACCAUAUUUUGUUCCUCCAGCAAAACCCCCCCUUUCUCGUGACUCAUUCGUGGAUGUCGACUUCGAUCAGAGCAGAGACAGGACUGUGAAGGAGACAACAAUGGAACGACUUGCUUCAAGUGGAAAAAGCUACUGUGCGUUAGGUUGUCUCCAUGGCGAAUGGGUUCGGAAAUAGGCACCACCAUGACAUGAACCUGUGAUCUUUAUAUAUAUUCUUUGUCUUCAUCCUACGCUGCAGUUUCUCUUUUACGGUCUCGGUGACUAGGGUUUGUCAUAGAAGUAACUUACAAGCUCUCAACUACGAAGCUAUUCUUCUUCAUUUUCACUGGCGCUAAAGAGAGUUGGAAAGGUCUAAUAGCUUGACAGUGGUAGGGGGUACCAAAACCAGCUCAGCAUGGCAGGAGACCAUUCAUUGCUUUACUGUGAAGAUUUUGUCUGUUCAUGAACUUUGGUUGCCCUAAUGCAUGCACCACCACCUUCUCCUCUCUUUCAGGGCAGGGAAAAUAAGGGAAGGGAACUGUAAUAGCAAAAACUCACCUACCGUCUUCCAAACUGCUCAUCUGUCACUUCACCCCAUCAAGCUCAAGGAGCUAGCUGAUGACUAAAUUCUUACGGAACGGAGGUGUAUCAGGGACAGGCUUCAACUGUGGCUGAUGAGAGAGUUCUUUAAAGGAUGGGGUAAAGGGUGGAUGGGAGAACCCCAAGAAGAUGUGAUUGCUGAACACAUCCCUUGGCCAAUCAGGCUCUCACGACUCAACGUAGAGAGCUUAGAGGUCAAAUUGUUCCUUCUUUUAUUGAUCUCCGGAUCAAGAUCUCAUAUAUUUAAUCUCCACCCUCCCACCGCGUAGGUUGAUCAUUGGAUACUUUGCCUCCUCACUCACUGAUCUGAGGGAUCUUCUGUCGACUACAUGCUAACAAAUGACAGGUCAAGGAUUGCUGGCUCGUUCCCAUAACUUCAUAUUGUGGGGAAAGUCUUAUCUACUCGGUGUUAGAAUGGUUCGUGGGGUCUCUCACUAAGCAGGGGUCCCUUUUGUGAUUCUGCCACAGCACAAGCUAUCCCAAUCUCGGACUCGGUUACCUGCGUUCUUCUUCGAGCUGAAUAAUUAGAAAAAGAUGACGUCCAUAUGAUUUGAAGAUAAGACUGUCAUGUUGUAUCGAUAAGUUUCAGUGGUCGAAGGAUUUUGGCUUGCUUAGAGAUGGGUCUCUCUCUCUCUGUCUCUCUCUUCUAAGACAUGAUGGCGAGUUUUGUGAGGAGGAGAACCUGUAAUGGACAUCGGAGGAGGAUUUGGAACCUUCUUAUUUUUUCUUGUUGAUAGGAGGGUCGCCAAUUUUCUGUAGGCCAGCAGUUGAUAUGGUUAGGAAUAAAGAAACGUAAGGUUGACAACCAAUCAGUAGGCCGAAAGGUCAUAUGCCCUUCACAGCCACGCCAUAUUUCUAUGAUCCAGAGAUGAACAAGUGUUUGAUGUGGUCAAAGGUAUCAUCAGAUUAAAAAGAGAGGCAAAAAAAUAGCAAGAAAAGAAGAAAAAUAAGAAGAGACUGUAGUGCAUGAAGGUGGGACCAUUAAGCGGCCUCGGUGGGGGCACACUUGGAUGAGUUCAGUGUGGACCCACUGGCAACCCGUGCUGGUCCCACGCAGUCGAGCCAAUUGGCUUUGGACAUGUCAACGAAUAAGCGUGAGGGAGGAGGAAGGCAAGCGUUACCGGAACUGCUUGGUGUGGAGCAGCCUCUGCUUCUUCUUGUUGGAAUAGGGGGCGCUGCAUCCUUCGGCGGUGUCGAUGUCGUGGAGCAUGGAGGAGUCCGGUACGUCGAGGCGCCUCUUCCGCCACGCGCUGACCACGACGGAAGCGAUCUGGGAAAGCGGGCUCCCCACCAGCCUCUUGAAACGAUACCUGCUGGUGCCGGACAAGAACACGGCCAAGCCAGCCACGAUGGCCACGGCGCAGAUGCCGUAGCCCCACCGGCGCCCGACGUUGUCUUGGAUGUAGACCAGCACGGUCACGGCCAUCAGCGCCCCAAUGCUAAUGAAGAAGAAGAACCAGCUGAAGAACCGCAUCAUCUGCUUCUUCUCGGCCCGGUCGCCCUCGUCGAACUGGUCCGACCCGAACCCGGACACGCUCGACUUGAGCCCGCCCGUCCCAAGGGCCGUCAGGUAGAGUCCCAGGUACAGCACACCCAGCUGCGUCCCGUUCGCCGUCACACACCCGCCGCCCAGCGGAUUACUGCACUCCGGGGGCCUCAACCCCGGCGCCGCCGUCGAUAUGGUCAAGAUAGUCACCCCCUUCAGUAUAAAUUUCGUUCAGUAUUGCUUGAUUCUUAGCAAUUCGUAUACCACUACUAAAACAUCAAAGGCGAGGAAUGCGAAAUGCUUACGGAGGCUUGGAUGGCGGUGAAGAUGGCGAUGGUGAGGUAUCUGAAAAGAAAUGAGCAGAAUUAAGACGAUGAACUGAGUCUUAGGAAUUCCUUGUCGGUGCAUGGAGUUGGGGAAGGGAGGAUACCGGCCGAGGUAGGUAUCGGCGACGAAGCCACCGAGGAGGCAGAGCAUGAAGGAGGUUCCCAAGAAGUUGGUGACAACGUUAGCGGAUGCGGCAUUGCCGAGGUGCAUGGUGCCGGUCAGGUAGGUCACCAGGUUCACCGCGAUGCCCAGCGUCGUCAUCCUCUCGCACAGCUCCACCCCUUGGUUUAUUUCCCAUUGGCAUCACAUCCACAACCAUCUUACUAUCAGUCACGGAGCAAACACAGGUAGGCAACUGAAAACAAGGAAAGAGAGCCAUGACCGGACCUAAGAUCAUGGCGGCGCUUGUCCAGCCGCCGGUGGUAGACUUGACGGCAGGGCGGCCCUUGAAGUCCCAUGCGUCGGCGAGGGUCUUACCCUCUUCGGCGGUCUCAGGUAAGCUGGCCAUCUCCCACUACAAAUCUCGCUCUAGGAUUAACAGGCGUGCGUUAUUAGUAGCAAAAGGUAGGUGGAAGAGCAGAGAGAAAACAGUAGUAUUAGAUGAUAGAAAAGAAGAAGAAGAAGAAGUGAGGAUGCAGGUGGGGUGGGAGACGGGGAUUUUAUAAGCAGAUGGCAGGGGUUGUUUGGUCUUUAUACAUACAGCAAGCAUACGCCAUCGUGUAUUAUACCGACAGUCCCACCCCAAAACUAACCUUCUAAUUUUGAGGAGGUAAAAGCUUCUUUUCUCUCUAUGAAUUGACUAAAACUUCAAUGCUGCUGAAACAAUUUAAAAGCAUAGAAAAGUACAUCAUCCAGCUAAGAGUAGCAAUAUCCAAGUCAAAUCAUGAAGGAUGAUGCAAUAAUGCACCCCUGAUGGUUUAUUCUAAGGGAGAAGAGAAGCUGUGUGAUCUUAGGAACACGAAGAAAGAAGUCGCUUGAAGCUUUAAACUCGCCACAAUGAAUGCCACCUAAGCGUUGAGCCAUGCGGGUGCACCUGUCUUACUGAGACAUCAACGGGUGACAACCUUGCAGGUAUAAGUCACACGGCCACCGGCAAUUGUUGGUGCCAAGUGAGAUGGGAAGCCAGAUAUCAUGUAUUCUUUUUUAUUUGACUUCAAUUUAUGGCAAUUUACGUAACGAAAAAUAGAAAUUAUCUCACAACAAAACAAUGAUAAAUCAUGAUAACUCACAAAACCGAGAGAUUAAUCAAGUCAACUUGGUUUGCUAAGAUGCAAGUCGGCAGUUCUUUGUUCAUUGUUUGCCACGAAUCCGGAAAAGAAAAGACUGACUUCAAAUGUAAAUGAAGAAGAUACCAUCUCGGUGCGUUGAACGUUGUCCAUGGCGGCCGACACGAGCUCAGAGCUGUGACAACGUCGAGACGCUCCAUUCACGAGAGAGAUGGGUCAAGCAAAAGUCAAAACUUCGAGCCUCUAGCGGCGAUUCCACCAGCGUCGAUCCGACGCGGUUCGGUUUGUCGCCAUGGAAUCCAAACCUCGAGACUCUAGCGGCGGUUCCACCAGUAUCGAUCCGACGCGGUUCGGCUUGUCGCCGUGGUCGUAGCCUCGUCCGCUUGCUCCAUGUUGUCGGUCGUUGGCUCCACACGCUGUGGAAGGGAAGUGUCGAUGGCUGGCAGUCGUCCCAUUUGGCCUUCCUGAUUAAGAACACUCACCUUUGGAUCUCUCUGUUCAAUCCACUCCGUCGCAGCAACAGCAGCAUGAGGGAGGGAGAGAGAGGGAGAAGAGGAAGGUAUUCUUUAAGCUUUACAUCCUCGAGCUUUUGAAGCUCCCUUGUGAGUGUAAUCGAUGAUACGUCGAAGAUGACACAGUACUACAUUGCCUGUUUGCAUGUCUUUCGUCAUUAUUGUCACCCACGGAAGAAAACAGUAAGAAGGAAGUCAACUCUCAAGUCAUUUAUCGAAGCUACAGCAAUCUGUCUCCAAGUCAAGAGUCCAAAUACACGCAUUGGAAACAUUUCAUGUCCUAGAAGACUUGUCACCACCAUCACUGAUCCAUGAGAGAACACAGUGAACAGUUGUUCUACUGCUCGGAACUCAACAAUAGUUAGCAGGGUCAACUUUGUCCUGGUUUGUUCAUUUGCUGGAAAAUGAAGCCUGAUUAGUAGAUUCUCUUCUAGUGUUGAAGAUGGAAAUGCCAGAAAUAAGUACAUGUGAGAGGUUUUUGAUACUAAAGCAAGCAUAAGUUUAGUGGUUUAAUUGAUUUUUUGUCAAUAGAGUCACAUAUAGCCAAUUUGAAACACGGUUCUAAACACGCCGAGCGAUCUCAUUGGAGCAGAUAGAUUUGAUCAAUAAUGCGUGUGCACAAUAUGUAGGAAAACUCUGCUUCUUGUGUACUAUUGCCCUAUUCAUGAGACUGUAGCAAAAUAAAUGAGAAGAUGAUGUUGAUCCAAUCCAAGGACAGAUAUUUCAAGGAAUCGUAUUUUGGAUAAGGAUUCCAUUGCAACAACUGCAAUCUAGUAAGGAACAAUUACCCUUAGAAAUUUCUCACCGUCUUUUUCAUCCAAACAUUUACAUCAAAGAAUCAAUAUGGUAGCUGAAUUCAGCAGUGCCAAGCUAAAACCACAUCAACAUGGUACCAGCUGCUGGAGUCUCCUAAUGAGAACGACAGGUUCUUCUGCUCAACGAUGGUGGAGUCUCUCGCAGACCUUAUGAACAGUACACCAUUUAUCUUGCACAGCAAAUGUCAUCAUACAGACAGGAGAAGCUGCAAAACUAUACCUAACGAAAAUAUAAAAGCAGUUACCGACACAGCCAGUGGCUUCUCCACCGCAAGCUUGUACGGACAGAGACGAGAGCGGGCAAGACAAAUGAUAGAGCCGUCCAAUCUACGUGCUGCUGUAGAUGGUUUGCGACUAAAAUCCCAAAGCCGAGUCCCACAGGAACAGCGAGGGUUCACGGAAUUCCAGGACUUCGUCCUCCCGUCCUAAGCAAGUUUGGAGUUAGCCGCAGUCCUUUGCACAGCUUCUGGGGCCGAAGCUUUCUGGAUAGACAUGCAUUGGUCUCUCGCCGUGCCUACAAGCAGGACUUUAAUGGGCCUUAUUUGGUACAGAGUAGACCAAUGAAGCCAUCCCGUUCGGCCCUCUGUGUUGCCUGCUUACAAUAUUAAUAUAAAAAGGGUCGAUAUUCUAAAUUAGCAGACUCCUAAUCUAAAUUUUUUGAGCCUUUAUCAAGUUGAGAUUCUCUGUAAAUUUACUUGUUCUGCAUACCGUAUUCCAAGUUUGACAGCGUUAAUGCGUCAAAGAUUCAGAAGCUUCAUUGAAGUCACGCUUAUGCGAUCUUACAGCGGCUUACAUAAUUGAGAAAUGUGCUAUAUAUAUAUAAAAGGAGCUCAUGCAUGGCAUCAAGCCUGCUGCUCAAGUUCCACACCCUGAGCGUCGUCGACGGACGUUCUAGUCUCCUUGUAAACGUAGCCUCUUGACGCCGCGACGAACGCCACCAGAUUCAGAGUGCUCAGAGCGACCAGAAGCCAGUAGAAAUUGUACAGCUUCCCUUUGUUCAGAUCGUCCGUCAACCACGCACCCUUUCCGCCGGAACCCGUCACCUUGUGGACUAUGGUGACCAGCGCCGUGCUCAGGAAGAAGCCCAGAGAGAGCGUGCUUAGGAACAGGCCGGUGCUCAUCGUCUUCAUCCCCUUGGGGCACUCCCG
This 7420-nucleotide long non-coding RNA is filed under the name Musa acuminata (dwarf banana). RNAcentral's name for it is "long non-coding RNA (MACU_LNC006397)". Lineage: Eukaryota; Viridiplantae; Streptophyta; Magnoliopsida; Zingiberales; Musaceae. The record is from RNAcentral.